AUUGAACGCUGGCGGCAUGCCUUACACAUGCAAGUCGAACGGUAACAGGUCUUCGGAUGCUGACGAGUGGCGAACGGGUGAGUAAUACAUCGGAACGUGCCCGAUCGUGGGGGAUAACGAAGCGAAAGCUUUGCUAAUACCGCAUACGAUCUAAGGAUGAAAGCAGGGGACUGCAAGGCCUUGCGCGUACGGAGCGGCAGAUGGCAGAUUAGGUAGUUGGUGGGAUAAAAGCUUACCAAGCCGACGAUCUGUAGCUGGUCUGAGAGGACGACCGGCGACAGUGGGUCUGGGACACGGACCGGUCUCCUACGGGGGGUAGCAGUGGGGAAUUAUGGCCAAUGGGCGAAAGCCUGAUCCAGCCAUGCCGCGUGCAGGAUGAAGGCCUUCGGCUUGUAAACUGCUUUUGUACGGAACGAAAAGUCUCUGGUUAAUACCUGGGGUCCAUGACGGUACCGUAAGAAUAAGCACCGGCUAACUACGUGCCAGCAGCCCGCCGUAA
Molecule: ribosomal RNA, 499 nt
Filed under: uncultured bacterium
Lineage: Bacteria
Description: partial 16S ribosomal RNA
Rfam family: Bacterial small subunit ribosomal RNA
Source: RNAcentral